UACAGAGGGCGCGAGCGUUAAUCGGAAUUACUGGGCGUAAAGCGUGCGUAGACGGUAGCGUAAGUCAGAUGUGAAAGCCCCGGGCUCAACCUGGGAACUGCAUUUGAGACUGCUCUGCUCGGGUGCGGAAGAGGGAAGCGGAAUUUCCGGUGUAGCGGUGAAAUGCGUUGAGAUCGGAAGGAACGCCCGUGGCGAAAGCGGGCCCCUGGACGUCCACUGACGCUGAGACGCGAAAGCGUGGGGAGCGAACAGG
Molecule: ribosomal RNA, 253 nt
Filed under: uncultured bacterium
Lineage: Bacteria
Description: partial 16S ribosomal RNA
Rfam family: Bacterial small subunit ribosomal RNA
Source: RNAcentral